CGGGGCGUAGCGCAGCUUGGUAGCGCACCUGCAUGGGGUGCAGGUGGUCGGAGGUUCAAAUCCUCUCGCCCCGCCCA
Molecule: transfer RNA, 77 nt
Filed under: Methylococcus sp.
Lineage: Bacteria; Pseudomonadati; Pseudomonadota; Gammaproteobacteria; Methylococcales; Methylococcaceae
Description: tRNA-Pro
Rfam family: tRNA
About the family: Transfer RNA (tRNA) molecules are approximately 80 nucleotides in length.
Source: RNAcentral